RNAcentral lists this long non-coding RNA (224 nucleotides) under Linum usitatissimum (flax). Its description in RNAcentral is "long non-coding RNA (LUSI_LNC000272)". Lineage: Eukaryota; Viridiplantae; Streptophyta; Magnoliopsida; Malpighiales; Linaceae. The record is from RNAcentral.
AAAUUCAGAUUUAAUUAUACCCUUUUUUCGGCAUUAUGAUGGCAUCGAGAAACAGAGCUCCUCCGUCUCCUACUUAUUCUUCAUCAUCGAUUCCACCUCCUCCUCCUCCUCAUCAUCUUAGGGAGGAAAUUAACGACGACAGUGAGAACAAAAUGUCUGGGUAUCAGAAAUCGAAGAUCAUGAGCAACGGUAAUGCGAGGGCUAGGAUUCUGACGAGUGGCUAU